This 440-nucleotide ribosomal RNA is filed under the name uncultured bacterium. RNAcentral describes it as "partial 16S ribosomal RNA". It matches the Rfam family "Bacterial small subunit ribosomal RNA", at positions 338 to 795 of the family's 1533-position model. The record is from RNAcentral.
CCUACGGGAGGCAGCAGUGGGGGAUAUUGCACAAUGGGGGGAACCCUGAUGCAGCGACGCCGCGUGGGUGAAGAAGUACUUCGGCAUGUAAAGCCCUAUCAGCAGGGAAGAAAAUGACGGUACCUGAACAAGAAGCCCCGGCUAACUACGUGCCAGCAGCCGCGGUAAUACGUAGGGGGCAAGCGUUAUCCGGAUUUACUGGGUGUAAAGGGGGCGCAGACGGGGAUGCAAGUCUGGAGUGAAAGCCCGGGGCCCAACCCCGGGACUGCUCUUGGAACUGUGUAGCUGGAGUGCAGGAGGGGCAGGCGGAAUUCCUGGUGUAGCGGUGAAAUGCGUAGAUAUCAGGAGGAACACCGGCGGCGAAGGCGGCCUGCUGGACUGCAACUGACGUUGAGGCUCGAAAGCGUGGGGAGCAAACAGGAUUAGAUACCCUAGUAGUC